GGUGGUUGCUAAAAGGCACAUUAACCAGAUCCUUCGGUGUCAUCUACAGAAAUUGCCUACUGCUAAGGUGUAUGCAGUAUAAAGCAAGUAGAUGUGUGGGACAGAAGAGUUGAUGCUGAGCAUCUUGGACUCAUUGCUCUUGGUUCACAGUGUGAGUUUGUGGGGGGCAAAGGGGGUUGUUCUUUGGACUAACUUGUGUGCAUCAGUUACCUUGAAUGAACGCACACAUAUGCAAGCUACACACAGCAGUAGAGAGUGAAUUUUCUAGUUUUGUCAUUAUUAUUUUUAUAGUACAUUUUCAUCCCUUUUGCCUUUAAUUUUUUUUACACAUCUCAUUUAUUCUUCUUCACUUUCAGCUAUUUUCAUCAUUCUUCUGAGGAGAUCCAGCCCUAGAGGAACAACCAUCAGCAAAUUCCAUUUGGGCAUUUGCCUGUCUCCCAAGAUUCUCCAAAGGGUGGUGAGGUUCAUGUCCGUGUGUUUGUUAAUGCAAAGAGCAGGCAGGGAUUGGUGACCACCAAGAGUAUCUGAAAGACAACAAAGUACAACCUGGGUAGCACUUCAAACAGGAGCGACCUGAAGUGGGUGUUUUCAAACCAUGCAUUUCACUUUAGAGCUGUUCUGUUCAGGUAUGAUGCAUCUUAAUUAGAAUUUGGAAAGAGUAGCAACAAAAACACAGAUAGAAAAGGGAAGAACAGUUUAUUGGCCUUGCCUUAGCAGAGAAUUUGCUGGAGAAAUGCACAUUCUCAUUGCACUUGCUAUGCCAUUUAUUAAUAUUGCAGCAUAGGAUGAUACAACUGUAAUCAUUUGUGACUUCAAUAAUUUAUAUCAAUACACAAUUCAUGAAUUCUGUGUUUGCCCAUUUGCAGAAUGCUACAGCUGAAGAGGAUCUACUGACAUGUAAGAGAUGAGUAUUUCUAAUCAUAUCCAUGUUCUUUUCAGUUCCCAGGAAGAACAAGACAGCUACAAAAUGCAAAGAUCCAGCCGUGGCUGGUAAAGGAUUUCCUGGAAGCCGAGAUGUGACAGAGGUGGAAAAAGUAUCUUCUGAGACACGAAGGGAAUGGAGAGAAAUUGUUGCGUGCACAGUUAAAAAAAAAAUAAAGAAAAAAUAAAAUAAAAAAAAAGUUAAUGGGAGAACAGAAGAACAGGAGCAGAAAGACUUGUAAAUGAGCACUACCAGGAACAGGGCCCUGACUGAAUUGGACCUUCCCUCCGAGAAAGUACGACUCUUCUCAUGCAUAAGAGCCUGCUUAUCAGCAACUAUUUGUAGCAGAUGGUACCCCCUCAAGAGCAAAUUUUAAAAAAAUAAUGACAGAGACACUGAAAGAUACUGAAGAAGAAAAAUAAGCUAUCCUGGAGAAGGUUUAAUAACAUUACCAGGCAACUGGAAAGUGCCUGUCAAAAUUGAAAGGAAACAGAGUGGAGAAACAAGAGUGAAAGAGAAUAUAAUUAAGAGGAGGAGAGCAUUGGCCAGCUGAAUGGUAGUCCCCACAUGGUCUCCAUUCUUGGAAAAGACAGCAAGCUGCUUCUUCCUAAUGCUGGUUGUUUUUAACCUGCUUGAAGAAGGACACUGAGAUGGUAACCAACAUCCUAAGAGCCUUUGAAAUUCAAGUUCUCCAUGGAGAGGAAAUAAAAUUUUAAAUGGCACAAAAGUGUAAUAAACC
This 1661-nucleotide long non-coding RNA is filed under the name Cyanistes caeruleus (blue tit). RNAcentral describes it as "lncRNA (ENSCCEG00000016728.1)". The record is from RNAcentral. Lineage: Eukaryota; Metazoa; Chordata; Aves; Passeriformes; Paridae.